GGAGAGGUGUCCGAGCGGUUUAAGGAGCUGGUCUUGAAAACCAGUGAUGCGGCAACGCACCGUGGGUUCGAAUCCCACUCUCUCCGCCA
This 89-nucleotide transfer RNA is filed under the name Schwartzia sp. (in: firmicutes). RNAcentral describes it as "Schwartzia sp. (gut metagenome) tRNA-Ser". It matches the Rfam family "tRNA". Rfam says of the family: Transfer RNA (tRNA) molecules are approximately 80 nucleotides in length. Lineage: Bacteria; Bacillati; Bacillota; Negativicutes; Selenomonadales; Selenomonadaceae. RNAcentral also lists the same sequence under 1 other name. The record is from RNAcentral.